GGGAUAUGCAUUGGGUAGCUGGGAAAAAAGGGGAUUUUUUGGUCAAGGAUUCUCACCAAGCAAUGAAUAGCACUUGAAGAUUGCAUAGUAGUUGUGGAAAGUUAAUUUUCAGUUCAAAGUUGUUUUUUUGUUUUGCUUUGUUUUAUAAGGAAAAAUAUGACAUAACAGAGAUAUCUCAGUGAUUUAUUUGUGCAGUCAAAAAUGCUUUGAUUUUGGAAAGCAAAUGCCAAAUACAAGGUGGAAUUCACGGCAAUCCCACAAUUACCAGCCAUCCCCCAGAUGAAGUAUGCCUGUGUGAAACAUUCAUUAACUUUUCUGUAAUCGUGAUCUGAUUGGAAGCGGGUCAGGCAAACAAGAAGGACUAAUUUUGGGCAAAGAAAUAAUUUUCUGUGAGUAAUUAGGAUAUGUACUCAUGGGUAAAGCAUUUUGCUGCUGUACAAACAUAUUCAUAACUGCUAUUAAUGGAAUAAAGAAAUAUUUUGACAGGCAGCAGUCAAGAUGAGCUUUUUCAAGCCACAGAAUUUUCUGUAGAGGAAUAUGAAUAUGUCAGGACCAUCUAUACAUCCAUUCAGAAAAGAUAGCUGGUGUUUUAGCCAGCUGAAAUGAUGUCCACGGGGCUGUAGUCUCUCCCACAUACCUUUGUGAUAUCAGCAGGACCCCAGUGCUCAAAGGCUGCUCCGCCUGUCCCCCAGGAGCUCAGGGGAGGGACAAAGGGGGUGGGAAGCUGGGGGGCUUUGGUAAUGCUCCUUUCUCUUCCUGGCUUCUUGAGCUACUGAGCUACUUUUUAAUUUUAAUUAUUUUAUUUUAUUUUAUUUUAUUUUAUUUUAUUUUAUUUUAUUUUAUUUUAUUUAUUUUAUUUUAUUUUUUAGUGUAAGCUCAUUUUUUCCUCCACAGGGAGAAUAUUUCUUCUGAACGCCCUGACUCUAACUCCUGAGCACAGAGAGAUGACUCCUGGAGAAGUGCUGCUGAAAAAGAAAAAGGGAGAAAAUGAGGUGUCUGCACAACUGUAUCUUACCAAAAGCAAAGACCUCGCAUGCUGUACUCCUGCUAGCACGGGUGCUAGAAACAUUUUGCCUAAAUCACUGAGAAUUGCUAAAAUGCUUCUCUGACCUAAAAUUUCUGUCUCUACUGGAACAAGGAGACCGUUGCUGGAGGUGGGCUGCAUGCUGCAAGGCAGUGCAAGAAGGGUGGGCACAGGAGUAAGUGACGGCAAAUUUAUGAGGUCCCACCUUAUAAAUUUAUGUGAAAAGCAAUAAAAGUGGUUUUCAGGGUGUAUUUGUAUGUAUA
This 1287-nucleotide long non-coding RNA is filed under the name Anser brachyrhynchus (Pink-footed goose). Its description in RNAcentral is "lncRNA (ENSABRG00000012168.1)". Lineage: Eukaryota; Metazoa; Chordata; Aves; Anseriformes; Anatidae. The record is from RNAcentral.